CCUACGGGUGGCAGCAGUGGGGAAUAUUGGACAAUGGGGGGAACCCUGAUCCAGCCAUGCCGCGUGUGUGAAGAAGGCCCUCGGGUUGUAAAGCACUUUCAGUGAGGAAGAACGCCUGGUGGUUAAUACCCAUCAGGAAAGACAUCACUCACAGAAGAAGCACCGGCUAACUCCGUGCCAGCAGCCGCGGUAAUACGGAGGGUGCGAGCGUUUACCGGAAUUACUGGGCGUAAAGCGCGCGUAGGUGGCUUGAUAAGCCGGUUGUGAAAGCCCCGGGCUCAACCUGGGAACGGCAUCCGGAACUGUCAAGCUAGAGUGCAGGAGAGGAAGGUAGAAUUCCCGGUGUAGCGGUGAAAUGCGUAGAGAUCGGGAGGAAUACCAGUGGCGAAGGCGGCCUUCUGGACUGACACUGACACUGAGGUGCGAAAGCGUGGGUAGCAAACAGGAUUAGAUACCCCGGGUAGUC
RNAcentral lists this ribosomal RNA (466 nucleotides) under Vreelandella stevensii. RNAcentral describes it as "partial 16S ribosomal RNA". It matches the Rfam family "Bacterial small subunit ribosomal RNA", at positions 338 to 795 of the family's 1533-position model. The record is from RNAcentral. Lineage: Bacteria; Pseudomonadati; Pseudomonadota; Gammaproteobacteria; Oceanospirillales; Halomonadaceae.